RNAcentral lists this ribosomal RNA (762 nucleotides) under Marinobacter sp. VKRKHg5. Its description in RNAcentral is "bacterial SSU rRNA". It matches the Rfam family "Bacterial small subunit ribosomal RNA", at positions 26 to 790 of the family's 1533-position model. Lineage: Bacteria; Pseudomonadati; Pseudomonadota; Gammaproteobacteria; Pseudomonadales; Marinobacteraceae. The record is from RNAcentral.
GAUGUCGCUGGCGGCUUGCUUACCACAUGCAAGUCGAGCGGUAACAGGGGUAGCUUGCUACCCGCUGACGAGCGGCGGACGGGUGAGUAAUGCUUAGGAAUCUGCCCAGUAGUGGGGGAUAGCCCGGGGAAACCCGGAUUAAUACCGCAUACGUCCUACGGGAGAAAGCAGGGGAUCUUCGGACCUUGCGCUAUUGGAUGAGCCUAAGUCGGAUUAGCUAGUUGGUGGGGUAAAGGCCUACCAAGGCGACGAUCCGUAGCUGGUCUGAGAGGAUGAUCAGCCACAUCGGGACUGAGACACGGCCCGAACUCCUACGGGAGGCAGCAGUGGGGAAUAUUGGACAAUGGGGGCAACCCUGAUCCACCAUGCCGCGUGUGUGAAGAAGGCUUUCGGGUUGUAAAGCACUUUCAGUAGGGAGGAAAACCUUAUGGCUAAUACCUAUGAGGCUUGACGUUACCUACAGAAAAAGCACCGGCUAACUCCGUGCCAGCAGCCGCGGAAUACGGAGGGUGCAAGCGUUAAUCGGAAUUACUGGGCGUAAAGCGCGCGAGGUGGUUUGGUAAGCAAAAUGUGAAAGCCCCGGGCUUAACCUGGGAACGGAUUUCAAACUGUCAACUAGAGUGGGGUAGAGGGAAGUGCAAUUUCCUGUGAACGGUGAAAUGCUUAAAUAUUAAAAAGAACACCAAUGCCAAAGGGGCUACCUGGACCAACUCUGACGCUGAGGUGCAAAAGGUGGGGAAGCAAAGGGAUUAAAAUCCCUGG